This 346-nucleotide ribosomal RNA is filed under the name uncultured bacterium. RNAcentral's name for it is "bacterial SSU rRNA". It matches the Rfam family "Bacterial small subunit ribosomal RNA", at positions 8 to 352 of the family's 1533-position model. The record is from RNAcentral.
AGAGUUUGAUCAUGGCUCAGAUUGAACGCUGGCGGCAUGCUUUACACAUGCAAGUCGAACGGCAGCACAGGGAGCUUGCUCCCGGGUGGCGAGUGGCGCACGGGUGAGUAAUACAUCGGAACGUGUCCUGUUGUGGGGGAUAACUGCUCGAAAGGGUGGCUAAUACCGCAUGACACCUGAGGGUGAAAGCGGGGGAUCGCAAGACCUCGCGCAAUUGGAGCGGCCGAUGCCCGAUUAGCUAGUUGGUGAGGUAAAGGCUCACCAAGGCGACGAUCGGUAGCUGGUCUGAGAGGACGACCAGCCACACUGGACUGAGACACGGCCCAGACUCCGUACGGGAGGCCGA